GGGCCCGCACAAGCGGAGGAACAUGUGGUUUAAUUCGAUGAUACGCGAGGAACCUUACCCGGGCUCAAACGGAAGAGGAGCGUGCGUGAAAGCGUGCGGUCCGCAAGGACCUCUUCCGAGGUGCUGCAUGGUUGUCGUCAGCUCGUGCCGUGAGGUGUCGGCUUAAGUGCCAUAACGAGCGCAACCCCCAUUUCCAGUUGCAAACGCGCUAAGGCGUGCACUCUGGAGAGACUGCCGGCGCAAGCUGAGAGGAAGGCGGGGAUGACGUCAAAUCAGCACGGCCCUUACGUCCGGGGCGACACACGUGUUACAAUGGCGGAGAACAGAGGGAAGCCAGGCGGCGACGUCCGGCAAAUCCGAAAAAUCCGUCUCAGUUCGGAUUGGAGUCUGCAACCCGACUCCAUGAAGCUGGAUUCGCUAGUAAUCGCGCAUCAGCCAUGGCGCGGUGAAUACGUUCCCGGGCCUU
RNAcentral lists this ribosomal RNA (466 nucleotides) under uncultured bacterium. RNAcentral describes it as "bacterial SSU rRNA". It matches the Rfam family "Bacterial small subunit ribosomal RNA", at positions 917 to 1382 of the family's 1533-position model. The record is from RNAcentral.